RNAcentral lists this long non-coding RNA (215 nucleotides) under Nicotiana benthamiana. RNAcentral describes it as "long non-coding RNA (NBEN_LNC012368)". The record is from RNAcentral. Lineage: Eukaryota; Viridiplantae; Streptophyta; Magnoliopsida; Solanales; Solanaceae.
GAGAAGUUUCUGGGGUUUGGUCGGAAUUCCGAGCCAAACCUCGUGGUGGUCUUGGAUUUUGCACAACACCAACAAAAAGGUGGUUUAGUUCGGACAGCCUCUUAAGUCGCUGGAAAAUUGCACGGCGACGAGGUCUUUCUUCCCGGAAUUAGCUGGAAUGACGCACAGCUAUAAUAUUCUCACCAAAGCUCUGAUACCAUGUGAGAAAGNNNNNN